This 561-nucleotide ribosomal RNA is filed under the name Salmonella enterica subsp. enterica serovar Typhimurium. RNAcentral describes it as "bacterial LSU rRNA". It matches the Rfam family "Bacterial large subunit ribosomal RNA", at positions 352 to 919 of the family's 2925-position model. Lineage: Bacteria; Pseudomonadati; Pseudomonadota; Gammaproteobacteria; Enterobacterales; Enterobacteriaceae. The record is from RNAcentral.
GCGCGAUACAGGGUGACAGCCCCGUACACAAAAGCGCAUGUGCUGUGAGCUCGAUGAGUAGGGCGGGACACGUGGUAUCCUGUCUGAAUAUGGGGGGACCAUCCUCCAAGGCUAAAUACUCCUGACUGACCGAUAGUGAACCAGUACCGUGAGGGAAAGGCGAAAAGAACCCCGGCGAGGGGAGUGAAAAAGAACCUGAAACCGUGUACGUACAAGCAGUGGGAGCACCCUUCGGGGUGUGACUGCGUACCUUUUGUAUAAUGGGUCAGCGACUUAUAUUCUGUAGCAAGGUUAACCGUAUAGGGGAGCCGGAGGGAAACCGAGUCUUAAYYGGGCGUUAAGUUGCAGGGUAUAGACCCGAAACCCGGUGAUCUAGCCAUGGGCAGGUUGAAGGUUGGGUAACACUAACUGGAGGACCGAACCGACUAAUGUUGAAAAAUUAGCGGAUGACCUGUGGCUGGGGGUGAAAGGCCAAUCAAACCGGGAGAUAGCUGGUUCUCCCCGAAAGCUAUUUAGGUAGCGCCUCGUGAAUUCAUCUCCGGGGGUAGAGCACUGUUUCGG